GGAAGAGCUCCGUGGAGGGAGGUGUCACGGUUGUUGUCGUUCCUGUGGCUCAGUGACACCACGCGAAGCUGACCGCCUCCUGGCUCCUGCGCGCACGGCUCCGCGGUGGGGACGGAGAGCGCCCUCCUCGGACGAAUUCAGCCAUGAAUCCAUCAGGACCUGGGAUUUUCUUUGUUGAAUGUUUUAUGGGAUAAUAUAUGGUGCAUUUUGGAGAAUGUCCCAUGUGCAGCUGAGAAGAAUGUGUAUUCUGAUGUGGCUGGGUGGAACACUCUGUAAACAUCUACUAAGUCCAAUUGCUCACAGGUAUGAUUUAGUUCUAUUAUUUCUUUGCUGUCUUUUUGUCUAGUCGAUCUAUGUCUUUGUGACAAUGGGGUGUUAAGGUCCCCUGUUAUAAUCAUGUUCUUGUGUAUUUGAUUUAUCAUGUCCAUUAGUAUUUGUCUUAUAUGGUUGGGUGGUCCUAUAUUUGGUGCAUAUAUAUUCUUUUUUUUUUUUAAUCUUCUUCUUUUUUAUCGGUACUGGGGAUUGAACUCAUGACUGCCUGCUUGCAAGGCAGGUGCUUAUGCUGCUGAGCUAAAUCCCCAGCCCCUAUAUAUUCAUUUUUCAACCUACUUUUUAUUCUUUUUUCUUUUUGGUCCUGGGGAUCAAACUCAUGAGCAUAUGCUUGCAAGACAGGCACUUAUGCAGCUGAGCUAAAUCCCCAGCCCUGGUGCAUAUAUAUCUAUAACUGUUAGUAGUUCCUCUUAAAUUUUUCCACCAAUGAGUAUGUAGUGACCUUCUUUAUCUCUUUUAAUCAUUUUAGGUUUGAAGUUCACAUUGUCUGCAAGUAGAUUUUUUUCUGGGUUCCAGUUGCAUGGAAAACUGUUCUCCAUCCUUUGACUUUUAACCUAUGCAUACUCCAGUUUUAUAGCAUUCCUACUAAUCCUAGUUAGAAGAUGAAACAAGUCUAACAUCCAUCAAUGGAUAAAUAAAUAACAAACAUGGUGUAUCUGUGCCAUGAGUAUCACUCAGUUCUAAGAAUGGACUCCGAAUACAUGCUACAACAUGGAUAGAUGUAGGGAGUGGCUUUGAAUAGCUGCUGCUGCCCUGCCCCUCCUGCCUGAGGGCAUUUUGUGUGUCAGCCUACAUUUCCCAUGAUCCUCAUGUCCACCUACAUUACCCAUAAUCCCCUCCUACUUACGUCAUAUAUCCGGAUGUGAUGGUGGCCUAUCAGAUAACACUCUGUGCCCUCUUCCUGCCUUUGGCCCGCCCCCCACCCUAUAUAAGUUGUAGCCAUUUUGAAAAUAAA
Molecule: long non-coding RNA, 1285 nt
Organism: Cavia porcellus (domestic guinea pig)
Lineage: Eukaryota; Metazoa; Chordata; Mammalia; Rodentia; Caviidae
Exons: 3
Source: RefSeq, a predicted model, not a curated record